UUGACUUUAAUAUUGAUUGAAUUCUAUACCAUCGCAAGUCCUUGCAACUACUACAGACGCAACUCAGGAUAAGGAGUGUUAGGCCGAGUCCUUUCUUCGGGCGAUAGGGAGUUUGCUUCAGCUAGAGCUAGAUUCCAUUAUGUAUUUGUUGACAAGGGAUGAGCAACAAGUCCACCACACCAGUUCGGGCAAGACUUAGUGCUAAUGCUUAGGCUAAGGUGUUUGCCAGGUCUUCUAUAAGAUAUAAGAAAGAAGGUCACUAACCAUGCGCUCUUAAGUUACUAAAGAUCAGUGUCGACGAGAUCUGGAUCAUCGCAGAAGAAUGCAAGUAUACAAAAGAAUCCGCUGUUUCAAGGUGUGGUGUUGGUUACUGGUGUUGGUGACGAGCGGUUCAAUUCAAAAGCAAACUAGGAGUGAGUGAGUGAGUGAGUGUCUUUUGUAUCUCAGUAUCGGAUAAUUGGGAAUAUCCCGGCUUCUCCAUUAGAAUCAAACUAUGUGUGUAACUACUUCAGUCUCAUCUAUAUGUAACUAAGUUCAACUCUUUCGCUGCUCACUUGAACUCGGGCACCUCUUACUCUAAUCUUGAACUCGGGCACCCCUGACUCUAAUCUUGAACUCGGGGGGGCCCCUCUGACUCUAAUCUUGAACUCGGGGGGGCCCCUCUGACUCUAAUCUUGAACUCGGGCACCCCUGACUCUAAUACUGAUCUCAACAUCACUUUAUUGGUAUUUGUCCCUUCCACUACUUGGGUAAAGUAUAAGUUACAGCUACGCCUUUCCUGGCUCUAAGGGGAAAGGAAUUGUUAUGUACAAGUCCUGUUUACGCCCUACUCUUUCUACUGAAACUCUACAUUCAUCUUUCCUUCCUGCUGAGCUUUAUACCUUCACUUUUCUUUUCACUUAACCUUGUAGUGUGCAUUCAAACUGGAAUUCGGCUUUCCUUCCCGAACAAUCAGUCACGUUACUCCCUAUUGAUUUUCUAUAUGAGUCACGCUCUCUUCAAUAAGCAAGAGAAAGAAUAAGCAUUUGACUCGAUUCCAUAAGUGCUGUAAGGUUGGUUUUCAACUACUUCUAUACAUAAGUGAACUAUCUAGAUGAUAUUCAACAAUUCCACUAUUCAUUGAUUCUCGGCUUCUAUAUAAGAUGAAAGUCAAGCACUGAAAAGAGCUUCUAUCGUACACUGAAACAGAACCAACAAGACAAACAACAUUGUCAACUUUCUCAGUAAGCGCAACUGCUUCCCUUUGGCCUCUCUAAUACUUUCCUGGAACGGAACCUUAACCACUUGUUUGCGGACCUCUCUCUCUUGCCCACGUUACGGCUGUUCUACGGUACGGCAUUUUUUCCUAUCUAAUAUAUCUCUAUCUAUAUACAAUAAUCAUCUAUAUACAAUAAUACAUUGAUUUCGAGCCCAAUACUUAUCUUAUUGUUUUCUUUCUUGGUGCUCUUGCAAUAAUACGUUAUCAUAUUUCCUUUCCCCGCCUUACCUUACAUGAAUUAAGCAAGCAAGUAACUCGCUAACGGCUUUAUUCUUUCCCGAACUCAAAUAAGUGUUAGCGCAAGGGUGAGUCAAACAGUUAAUUGAACUGAUGCGCAAACAGGAAUAUCAUAUUUUGGGGAAUCUUUCUUUCUCGCUCACUUUCUACUUCACCAAGAUACUUUACUCAAACAAACCACAUUAGCUUCAACACCCGGCCAUGUUGAUUACCAGAUUCUAUACCCGGGUCUCACGUAAUAAGCUUACUUCUGAUGAUCCAUCUUAUGCUGAAGGACUUAGUGCUGAAGAAUAAGAAGCACAUUCUCUACUACUAUGUUAUUCCCUUAACCGCUCCUAAGCAUGAGAACUCGUAAAACGGAGAGCCAAUUACCUCUUUUGUAGACUUAACAAGCAAGCACCCGACCU
This 1902-nucleotide long non-coding RNA is filed under the name Musa acuminata (dwarf banana). RNAcentral's name for it is "long non-coding RNA (MACU_LNC010947)". The record is from RNAcentral. Lineage: Eukaryota; Viridiplantae; Streptophyta; Magnoliopsida; Zingiberales; Musaceae.